GGAGGACGGGCAGGAUGGUAAUGCAGCGGAUUGCUAAUCCGUACACGGGGUUAAAGCCGUGAGUGGGUUCGAUUCCCACGUCCUCCGCCA
RNAcentral lists this transfer RNA (90 nucleotides) under Acetobacter sp. CAG:977. Its description in RNAcentral is "transfer RNA-Ser(GCT)". It matches the Rfam family "tRNA". From Rfam's summary of the family: Transfer RNA (tRNA) molecules are approximately 80 nucleotides in length. Their secondary structure includes four short double-helical elements and three loops (D, anti-codon, and T loops). Further hydrogen bonds mediate the characteristic L-shaped molecular structure. tRNAs have two regions of fundamental functional importance: the anti-codon, which is responsible for specific mRNA codon recognition, and the 3' end, to which the tRNAs corresponding amino acid is attached (by aminoacyl-tRNA synthetases). tRNAs cope with the degeneracy of the genetic code in two manners: having more than one tRNA (with a specific anti-codon) for a particular amino acid; and 'wobble' base-pairing, i.e. permitting non-standard base-pairing at the 3rd anti-codon position. RNAcentral also lists the same sequence under 1 other name. Lineage: Bacteria; Pseudomonadati; Pseudomonadota; Alphaproteobacteria; Acetobacterales; Acetobacteraceae. The record is from RNAcentral.